Molecule: ribosomal RNA, 253 nt
Filed under: uncultured bacterium
Lineage: Bacteria
Description: partial 16S ribosomal RNA
Rfam family: Bacterial small subunit ribosomal RNA
Source: RNAcentral
UACGUAGGGGGCAAGCGUUGUCCGGAUUCAUUGGGCGUAAAGAGCGUGUAGGCGGCCAGGUAGGUCGGUUGUGAAAACUGGAGGCUCAACCUUCAGAGGUCGACCGAAACCAUCUGGCUAGAGUCCGGGAGAGGAGAGUGGAAUUCCUGGUGUAGCGGUGAAAUGCGCAGAUAUCAGGAAGAACACCCGUGGCGAAAGCGGCUCUCUGGAACGGUACUGACGCUGAGGCGCGACAGCGUGGGGAGCAAACAGG